UACGAAGGUGGCAAGCGUUGUUCGGACUUACUGGGCGUACAGGGAGCGUAGGCGGUUGGGUAAGCCCUCCGUGAAAUCUCCGGGCCUAACCCGGAAAGUGCGGAGGGGACUGCUCGGCUAGAGGAUGGGAGAGGAGCGCGGAAUUCCCGGUGUAGCGGUGAAAUGCGUAGAUAUCGGGAGGAAGGCCGGUGGCGAAGGCGGCGCUCUGGAACAUUUCUGACGAUGAGGCUCGAAAGCGUGGGGAGCAAACAGG
Molecule: ribosomal RNA, 253 nt
Filed under: uncultured bacterium
Lineage: Bacteria
Description: partial 16S ribosomal RNA
Rfam family: Bacterial small subunit ribosomal RNA
Source: RNAcentral